AUAUUUAACUAUGAGCGGAAGCCUGAUCCAUCCACGCUCCGUGAGUGAAGAAGGUGUUCGGAUUGUAUAGAACAUGAAGUUGGGAGGAAGGGCAGUAAGUCAAUCCCUUGCUGUUUUGACGCUACUGCAAGAGUAAGUACAGGCUAGCUUCGUUCAAGCAGCCGCGGUAAUACGAAGGGUGCAAGCGUUAAUUGGAAUUACUGGGAGUAAAGCGCGCGUAGGUGGUUAGUUAAGUUGAAAGUGAAAGCCCCGAGCUCAACUUGGGAAUUGCAUUCAAAACUGGACGGAUAGAGUAGGGCAGAGGGUGGUAGAAUUUCUUGUGUAGCGGUGAAAUGCGUAGAUAUCUGAAGGAACGCCACUGGCGAAGGCAACCACCUGGACUAAUACUGACACUGAGGUGCGAAAGCAUGGGGAGAAAACA
This 421-nucleotide ribosomal RNA is filed under the name uncultured bacterium. Its description in RNAcentral is "partial 16S ribosomal RNA". It matches the Rfam family "Bacterial small subunit ribosomal RNA", at positions 361 to 774 of the family's 1533-position model. The record is from RNAcentral.